RNAcentral lists this ribosomal RNA (253 nucleotides) under uncultured bacterium. Its description in RNAcentral is "partial 16S ribosomal RNA". It matches the Rfam family "Bacterial small subunit ribosomal RNA", at positions 524 to 776 of the family's 1533-position model. The record is from RNAcentral.
UACGGGGGGGGCAAGCGUUGUUCGGAAUUACUGGGCGGAAAGGGCUCGUAGGCGGCCAACUAAGUCAGACGUGAAAUCCCUCGGCUUAACCGGGGAACUGCGUCUGAUACUGGAUGGCUCGAGGUUGGGAGAGGGAUGCGGAAUUCCAGGUGUAGCGGUGAAAUGCGUAGAUAUCUGGAGGAGCACCGGUGGCGAAGGCGGCAUCCUGGACCAAUUCUGACGCUGAGGAGCGAAAGCCAGGGGAGCAAACGGG